Hordeum vulgare subsp. vulgare (domesticated barley) is the source of this 384-nucleotide long non-coding RNA. RefSeq lists it as uncharacterized. NCBI's taxonomy places the organism in Eukaryota, Viridiplantae, Streptophyta, Magnoliopsida, Poales, Poaceae. The transcript has 3 exons. The record is from RefSeq and is a predicted model, not a curated record.
CAACGCUUACUCUAUCUAUGUUCCCUUCUCCAAAAGGAUAAUCCUUUUGAAUUGUUGGUGUUUGUUCAAGUACCAGCAUCGAUGACUGCUGUAUAUAUAUCUCGCUCGCUUGAUCUUCAUCGCUUCUAGCUUCAAGGGUCUCGCUCGCUGCUCACUGUUACAUGCUUCUCAGGGAGUGAGGGAUAUCUAUGCCGUUUUUGCUCUCGAACAAGGGCCAAGCAAGAUCUGUCUCUCACAGUUAGGAAGUCGAAGGGGACUUGCAUCCAGAAUUCGCUCCGGCUUGGCUCAGCUCAUUCAAGACUUCAAGAGUGUUAUAGAGCCACCAAACAGGGAAUAAUUGAAGGAAGCGUCUCAAUCGGACAGGUAGAUCUUUCGCUCCCCUAU